RNAcentral lists this ribosomal RNA (704 nucleotides) under uncultured bacterium. Its description in RNAcentral is "bacterial SSU rRNA". It matches the Rfam family "Bacterial small subunit ribosomal RNA", at positions 71 to 790 of the family's 1533-position model. The record is from RNAcentral.
AGAGAGAGCUUGCUUUCUCGAGCGAGUGGCGAACGGGUGAGUAACGCGUGAGGAACCUGCCUCAAAGAGGGGGACAACAGUUGGAAACGACUGCUAAUACCGCAUAAGCCCACGACCCGGCAUCGGGUAGAGGGAAAAGGAGCAAUCCGCUUUGAGAUGGCCUCGCGUCCGAUUAGCUAGUUGGUGAGGUAACGGCCCACCAAGGCAACGAUCGGUAGCCGGACUGAGAGGUUGAACGGCCACAUUGGGACUGAGACACGGCCCAGACUCCUACGGGAGGCAGCAGUGGGGAAUAUUGCACAAUGGGGGAAACCCUGAUGCAGCGACGCCGCGUGGAGGAAGAAGGUCUUCGGAUUGUAAACUCCUGUUGUUGAGGAAGACAAUGACGGUACUCAACAAGGAAGUGACGGCUAACUACGUGCCAGCAGCCGCGGUAAAACGUAGGUCACAAGCGUUGUCCGGAAUUACUGGGUGUAAAGGGAGCGCAGGCGGGAAGACAAGUUGGAAGUGAAAUCCAUGGGCUCAACCCAUGAACUGCUUUCAAAACUGUUUUUCUUGAGUAGUGCAGAGGUAGGCGGAAUUCCCGGUGUAGCGGUGGAAUGCGUAGAUAUCGGGAGGAACACCAGUGGCGAAGGCGGCCUACUGGGCACCAACUGACGCUGAGGCUCGAAAGUGUGGGUAGCAAACAGGAUUAGAUACCCUGG